CUGUGGCGUCACAGAGUCGGACAUGACUUAGCGACCGAAUAACAAGUGACAGCCCACCUCCAUAAGGGACUCAGAGAAAUUAAAAAAGGGAUUCUGUAUUGGGAAAGAGAAGUGAAGAACACUGUGUGCUUUCUGCCCUGCCCUACCCCCCAAGCCCAAUGUAUCAGAUCCCAGGAGGCCCAUUCACGGUGACUGGGACUGUCAACAGGGGUAAAAUCAGAAUCUUCUUCCCCAACAGGACCACAGAAAUGCUGGCCCACUCCUGGCAGGAGGCAGAGCCUGAGCAUUCUCGGAAACACCUGCUGUGUUCCCUGGAGCUUGGGAACAUUCAUGAAGAGAUGGGCGAGAGCCUAGAAAAGUCCAGAAAUUAGCUGGAACUGUCUUGGAGUGGACAACUGGGUGCUGGGGAGGAGCACAGGACAGUUGUUCAAGCUGAAUUUCAACCUUGUGAGGAGCAAGGAUGUGAGACUUUAACCUGGAGCCAGAGGGAGGCCUGGGAAGAAGACUCUAUAGAUGCUGUCAACACGGACUCACAGAACGUACCUCCCGUGCACACAGCUGGAGCCGCCCGCCAGUGUCAUGAACCUGCAACAGGACACCCACUGGGAAGAGCGCAUAACAAGGUCCCAGGGGAUUCUACUAGGCUGCCCGACUCCCCUCCUCCACUUCCUACACGUGGCUGCCAAGGCCACAUCUGCAUUCCAGCUGGGCAGCAGGAACGAAACCAUUCCCCUGUGGCCCAGGGAGCACAGAGGUGACCAUUGACUCAAAAGAGAUCAUUCACAUCAAUGGUUACCAGGUGGCCCGACUCAUAGUGUAUCCAACGUGCUUGCCUAACCCCACACUGGAGAUCCUACAGACAAACAGUGACUGAUGUGAAAGUAACGGUUGUUUUAGGAAGGAGUGCUAGUGAUUUUUAGAAAACUGGAUAUGAGGUGGAACCAUUGAAUAUUAAAGAGGGAAAGCCACAGCAUCUUAGAGAAUCUCACUAAGGCUGUGAGAAGUUCCUCAGUGGGCUGAAAACUACCAGCAACAACUACCAGCUGAAAACUACCAGCUAAGGAAUAAUACUUUUUAAACAGUGAGCGAUCAAAUUUACCAUGUGGCGGUUUGUCAAUAAAGCUCUCUGUUCAAAUCAUAACAAGUCAGCAUCAAACUGUGUGAUGGGCAUGGAUGGUAAAAAAAUCUGCUGGUGGGACUUCCCUGGUGGUCCAGUGGUUAAGACUCUGUGCUCCCAAUGCAGGAGCCAUGGGUUCCAUUUCUGGUGGAGGAACUAAGAUCCCGCAUGCUGCAUGGCACACCCCAAAAGAAAGAAAUUUUUUUAAAAAACUUUAAUGGUGAAUAUAAAAACAGGUGUGAAACAAGAAAAUGCCCAGGAAGGUGGGCAAGGUUAACUCACAGAGCAGGGAAGUCGGCCUUGCCCCAAGUCGGCAACCAGGAGUGCAGUGUCUACACUUUCCCUGGAAGAGCGGGAGGCCCACACGUGCCCUGCCUCCCCAUGCCUCUGUGUAGGCCUUUGGUCCAGAUCUCGCUGACAGUGAUGAGCCAUUAGGUGAUCAGCCAUUGCGUGUCUCCCAGAAGAGGAAGCCUUCAGCGACUGAUCAUUCAGCUGUUCUAUCAACAAUCGCUGAUGCCAACAGCAGGGUCAGGCUCUGGGUCACUGAUGACAAGGAUAGUCCCUGCCCUCCAGUCGGGGCUGCACUGACUGACAUGAGGACAGAGGGCUGAGGGAAAGGAGGGUACUCAGCCCUGAGGAGCCUGGAGAAGCACGAGUGCAGCUGAGCGAGGGCUCCAUGGAGCACAGAGGAAGGGGAAGGAAGCCGGCAGCAGGAGGCCAGUCUGCAAACGUGGGCAGAGGCCAGACCAGCGGCAGGGGACUGGAGGCAGAAAGAGGACAUGGAUUCAGACAGGCCCAGCUCAUCGGCUGACUGGCUGUCAGGGCUUAGGGCUGGCUGGAAACCUUCACACUGAAUUCCAGGGAGCAUGCAGGAGUCACAACUACAUCACCUUCUAAGGAAGAAGGGCCCCGGGCUGUGUGUAUAAUCAAAGGGACCAGAGGACCAGGCCAACCCAAGGGGAGAAGAGCUGGGGCUGGGCCCAAGGCCUGAAUGAAGCCAGCACCCCCACACCCAGGAAGCCAAGGUGAGCUAGGCUGGGCAUAGCCCUGGACUUCCUCCUGGGAAAAGGCAUGGCCCAGGGGGACAAGGAAUGAACAAAGCCGCUCCUCGACAGGACAGAACAAGGGCACAAGGCUUGCUGCAGUGAGCAGUCGAGGGACCGGGAAGCUGGUACCUACUCUGCCCCUGCCUGUGGGCCUUAGGAAAGUCAUGUCAUUGCAUCAUCUGUUUUUUAGUUAAUUAAGACACAUUGAGGGACUUCCCUGGUGGUUCAGUGGUUGGGACUUUGCUUUCCAAUGCAAGGGGUGUUGGUUCAAUCCCUGAUUGGGGAGCUAAGAUUCCCACAUGCCUAGAGGCCAAACAAUCAAAACAUAAAACAGAAGCAAUAUUGUAACAAAUUCAAUAAAGUCUUUUAAAAUGGUCCACAUCAAAAAAUCUUUAAAAGAAAACAUAUUAAGGAAAAAUGCAUUGCAUAUCCCUAUAAGCCAGUCACUGUGGAUGAAAUAGAGAGACCCCUGUCUACACAGGAGGACCUAUCUCAGUGGGCUAAGCUCUCUAACCCAGAGGUCACAUCCAGUCCUAAGAGGUAUUUUCUCUCUCAUACCUCCACACCGACAGGGCAUCCAGUUCUAGACGAAGCACUGCCCAGCCCAUUCCCAGGGCCUGCUUACACUAGGGCCUCCUCCGUAAUCCUCAAGAGCUGCUCUAGAACCACCCCUUAGCCAAGACCCUUCCACACCAUCACAGAGGAUGUCUGGAUAACCUUUGCUGUAUGUCCCCGGGACUUCUGGAAUGUACCCUUCACAGCCCAACAACACCUACUAAUAGCUGAAGGAAAAACUCAUGCUGAAGUUCACUCCACACUCUACAGUUGGAAUGGGUGCAGGCAGCAGUCAGAAAUCUGCUCCUAAUAUCAGAGAGGGAGUGACCCAUCUGUGUGCAGGUAGACGAACCCCAAGGAGAGUGGCCCCAGGCUGUAUCCUGUGCACCUGG
Long non-coding RNA from Bubalus bubalis (water buffalo), 3110 nucleotides. RefSeq lists it as uncharacterized. NCBI's taxonomy places the organism in Eukaryota, Metazoa, Chordata, Mammalia, Artiodactyla, Bovidae. The transcript is spliced from 3 exons. The record is from RefSeq and is a predicted model, not a curated record.